This is a long non-coding RNA of Helianthus annuus (common sunflower), 265 nucleotides long. RefSeq lists it as uncharacterized. Lineage: Eukaryota; Viridiplantae; Streptophyta; Magnoliopsida; Asterales; Asteraceae. The record is from RefSeq and is a predicted model, not a curated record. The transcript is spliced from 4 exons.
GGAAUAUUGAUAUUGAUUGUGUUUUUUAAUUUUCAGAUAUGGAUCACAUUAACAACAGUCCUUCAUUUUUAAAGCUUAUUGAGGAAGAUGACCCAAUAUUUUUGGUAUGUUAUAUGUACGAGUAUGCCACAUGGUUCAAGUUCUCUUGAGUCCUCAGAGUUGUGAAUUAGUUCGCUUUUCAAGUACUUUGCUUCUGAAGAUUGCAAUAGAAGUUUAGGAUGCAAGUGCACAUGUUGUGAGCCCUGGUGUGACCACUGAUGAAAUU